AAAUAUUUUUAUAAAACUAAUCUUAAUUAAUUUCUUGCGUUUUCAUUUGAGCUUUCGAAAGUUAAAAGAUUCUACCUGAAAGUUGAGGAAUUUGAAUUAUUUCUUUUUGCCACCUGUCGAUUGAAUACGAUUAAAUAUUACAGAUAUAUACUUAUACACUUCAGAUAAAAUAUCUCAAAAUUAAGCGAUGGGAACGGUAUAAUUAUUAAGAUCGUUGCAUUUAUUUUUUCAUGAUGUACAAGAAUAUCAAAAAAUAACUAUAUGAUUUCAUUUGAAAAAAUGACGAUGACCUUGAAAAAAGAAUUGCAAUGAAAAACCAUUUGCACCUUUGCAAUAAUAUGACCUUUGAAAUAAUGUAGUUUUAUUGUGAAAAGUUUCUUAUAUAACAAUGUAGAAUUUAGGAUUUCCUAUAUUUAGGUUGCGUGGAGCUGUAGCAAAGAUUGUAAUUAGUAACAAUAUUUCCUUCAAACAGGUGUAAAAUUACAUCUGAAUAAAUUUAAUUCAUUGAAAAAGCAAGAUUAUAUUAACGUAACGCCUUAAUAUCACUAGAUAUUACCAGAUAUUACAAUGAGUUAACCGCUUGCAUAAAGUCACUGAUUCUUCACAUGUCUGUUUUGGGUUAAGAUUUUCUUUCUAUUUAGUAUAAUGGCUCCUAAACCGAAGCGCACGGACAAGUUAGCCAGUAAACCAGCUGAAAAUAAGAUAGAAAAGAAAAUUGAUAAUGGGUAGAAGUCAAUUAAUGCAACAUCUACAUUUAAGUUACAAAGCCAGCUGUGAAAACAUCCACCACUGCAAAGAAAGCAGCAGCUGCUAAAUCAACAAGUGCUAUGAACUUUGCCUGUAGCGAAACCUAUACUUGCAAAAUCUAAGAAAAAUGUUCAACCUGUGAAAAGAUACAGAAAGGUGAAAAAUCAGCUGUGCCACUUCAGAAGGCAUUUAAAGUUUAGAAAAAGAUAUUGAAAGGUGUUCAUGGAUCAAGAGUAAAGAAAGUAAAGGCAUCUGUAUAUUUCUAUUGGACAAAAACAUUUAAGCCACCAAGAAACUCCAAAUAUGUGAGAAAAUUUGUCCCAAAUAGAAACCAAAUUGUCAGAAUCUGAUGACAGUUCCAUAUCAUCGCAGGCCAUAUUCAUCAAUUUGUCCAUGAUGGAGGUACAAUUUAUGGAUAUUAUAUUUAAUUUUUGUGAAAAAAGACUCUGAACAAGAUAUGUAUGCUGCCAGUGUGUCGAAAGAAAACGAUUGAAUGUGCAUUAUUGGGAAGUUGUUGAUAAUAAAUGAAUGCAUCGCCUAAAGGCGCUGUUCGCUCAGAGAAGGCGUCUCUGGCUAAGUACCUAUAGGCGCUGUUCGCUCCGAGGCAGCGACUAUGGCUAAGCGCCUAUAAGCGCUGUUCGUAGGCAAAGGGUUAAUUAGGCCAGAUGGUAAAAAGAAAGCAUGUGUACGCUUAACUCGUGAUUAUGAUGUACUUAAUGUUGCUAAUAAGGUUGGAAUAAUAUAAAUAUAUCUAUAUGUGAUUGAUAUGGAAGGAAAAGUGUAUAUAGAUGUAUUUAUAUGUAAUUAAUAUGGAAAGAAAAGUGUAUCUGUGCAAUAAAGCAUGUUGAUAUAAAAAAUCUUGUUACUGUAUUUCUUUAGAGAUUUUAUUCAGUAAAUUCCUUUUAUUGAUUAAAUAUCGAAGAUAAGGCAUUUUUGAGAUUCCAAACUUUAAUUUAAGUUCUUUUCAGAUAAAAUAAAUGUUUACAAAAUCAAGAAAUUAGUAUUUUUCAUCGACUAUGUAAUACUUAGUUACUACCACUAUUUCACCGCUAGAUAAUUAUGUAAAAUGUUCGUAUGCCCAUCAUAGGCCUACAUAUAUAUAUACAUAUGUACAUGCAUUGUUCAUCGAUUGACCACAUUUUCAACAAUAAAAAACACGCUUAAGUUCUCUUUCUGUUUCUCUGUCGAAAAUACUAAAUAAACAUUUAGGAAAACAGGAUACAUUUGUGAUUAGCUUAUGCAUUUAUGAUUUAACCGACUUUAUCAGUUAAGGGUACACAAAUAUACAUAAUAUACAAACAUAUACAAAAUAUUGAUAGUAUUCGUCCUAUUUUGUAGUUGAAAUAAUUUAAGUAAUUUAAGUAAGCAAUUUAAGUUUCAUUUAUUUAGUUAUACUUAAAAAAAGCGUAUUUCCAUAAACAUCAGCGAUCAACUUAUCGUUUAAAUACGAAGAAUGAAUUGCACAUAAUAGUUUAGGUUAGGUUUUUUGUGUUGAAUAAUAUCAGAAUCGUAACUUGCUGAUCUAGUAUAUCUAGUAUAUAGCAUUCUGUAUAUUUAAUUAAAUAGUACUUGUAGUAGUCAUGUGAGCAAACUAUGCGCAGAAUUAGGAAAAUUAGGAGCCAGGAAUAUUAAAAGAAUAAUUCGUGGCUGAGAAGGGAAUCUUAAUGGUGCAACGGAAGUGUCAGGGGACCGAAGGAUUAGUUUACUCAGUCUACCGUGAAUCUUCGCUGAUAGUGGGUGUAUUUUUGAUGGCUUUGUGAAAAUUAAG
This is a long non-coding RNA of Bombus terrestris (buff-tailed bumblebee), 2515 nucleotides long. RefSeq lists it as uncharacterized. The record is from RefSeq and is a predicted model, not a curated record. The transcript has 5 exons. Lineage: Eukaryota; Metazoa; Arthropoda; Insecta; Hymenoptera; Apidae.